RNAcentral lists this transfer RNA (83 nucleotides) under Actinophrys sol. Its description in RNAcentral is "tRNA-Tyr". It matches the Rfam family "tRNA". Rfam says of the family: Transfer RNA (tRNA) molecules are approximately 80 nucleotides in length. Their secondary structure includes four short double-helical elements and three loops (D, anti-codon, and T loops). Further hydrogen bonds mediate the characteristic L-shaped molecular structure. tRNAs have two regions of fundamental functional importance: the anti-codon, which is responsible for specific mRNA codon recognition, and the 3' end, to which the tRNAs corresponding amino acid is attached (by aminoacyl-tRNA synthetases). tRNAs cope with the degeneracy of the genetic code in two manners: having more than one tRNA (with a specific anti-codon) for a particular amino acid; and 'wobble' base-pairing, i.e. permitting non-standard base-pairing at the 3rd anti-codon position. Lineage: Eukaryota; Actinophryidae. The record is from RNAcentral.
GGGAAGAUGGCUGAGUGGACAAAGGCGGCAGACUGUAAAUCUGUUAAGGAAACUUUUCGUAGGUUCGAAUCCUACUCUUCCCA